Molecule: long non-coding RNA, 1270 nt
Organism: Pangasianodon hypophthalmus (striped catfish)
Lineage: Eukaryota; Metazoa; Chordata; Actinopteri; Siluriformes; Pangasiidae
Exons: 3
Source: RefSeq, a predicted model, not a curated record
AAUUCUGGAUUCUGAUUGGUCAGAAGGCGUUGAUUAAUUUUCUAUACAAGUCCUUGUCAUUAAGCAAAAGCGGAGUGAAAAUCUUUUGCAUUGUACAAGACAGAAAUAUUAUGUAGAGGAUGAAAGAGUGCGAGUCGAAAGCUUUUUACUGUAUAACAGGAAUUAAAGUCAAGACUGGUCAGAUUGUUAAAUCUUUAUCAAUCCUUUCCUUAAAGGAAGUAAGAUUUAUUUCUACAGAAAUGAAAAUGAAAGUAUGUUGUGUAUGUACAGUAGGAUUGGCCGUGGUGGUUAGGGAAGGUCUGUACGCUUACAAGGUGAGUUCUUCCUCCACAUAACACCAUCACGCGUAACAUCCAGCCCAACGUCGACAAACCAGCAGAGCAGAAACACAACAACGACUUCAGCAGCAGAAAACCUUUUUUAAUCCGUUUACGUGGAACGUCCAUGUGAGUGUACAAGUCCAUGUAUAAGUGUGUGUGUGUUUGUGAGGUUAGUGAUCGUGUCCCCGCUGUUUCGGACGUCCUCUCUCUCUCUCUCGCUGCUUUCUCCCAUUAUGAAGGGCUUCUGGGACACCGCGUGGGCUGUUUGGAGUUUAGGGUCUACCAUCUAUGACUACUUCCAAAAAGGUGAAGCAGAAAAGCACACACGGGAUAUGGAGAAGCGCAUACAGAAUCUGCAGCACCAAGUGAACGCUCGGGAGAUCAUCAUCUUCAGCCAGCAGUGUGUUAUUAGCCUGCUGAUCGCAGCGCUGGUGGUCAUGUGCACGCUGCUGUACAUGAGGAGGAGGAGGAGGAACUAAUCCAAACCGCCACUAGUGUCACCUCAUACAAAUAAAAUCACUUACUAUAACUUCCUUUUUCACUUCCUCUUGUUCGUUGUAAAUAAAUGUAAAUAAAAUGUAAAAAAUGUGGUAUUAAUGUUUCAGUUUGAUUCCCCAAACUACUGAAAUAAAUUAUAAAAAGAGUUUUAAGGUUCUGCCGUAUUAGUUUUUUUUUCUCCUUCAUUAGAUCUCGCCAUCACUAUACACUAUACUCCUCUAUCACACUUCACAUUAAUUUCAUUAUAGUCACUAUGUAAUAAACACUGUGUGUGUGUGGUGCUGUUGUAGUAAAAUAAUCAACAGUGGUGUGGUGUGAUGAGGCGGAGUUACCGUUAACACUUUUAAAGUGGAUUAUUUUCCUAAAACAGCAUGUUGUUGGGGUUUUAUUCCUUUUAUAUCACAGCAAUUUACCACUAAUUACAAUUUAACACACAACUUUUCUUUUUUUUC